AGUGAACGCUGGCGGCAGGCUUAACACAUGCAAGUCGAACGGCAGCACCGUAAUAGUUUGCUCUUCCGGGUUGCGAGUGGCGGACGUGUGAGGAAUAUAUCGGAAUCUACUUUUUCGUGGGGGAUAACGUAGGGAAACUUACUCUAAUACCGCAUACGACCUACGGGUGAAAGCAGGGGAUCUUCUCACCUUUUGCGAUUGAAUUAGCCGAUGUCGGAUUAGCUAGUUGGCAGGGUGAAGGCCCACGAGGGCGACGAUCCGUAGCUGGACUGAGAGGAUGAUCAGCCGCACGGGAAGUGAGCCGCCGACCAGACUCCUAAGAGAGGCAGCAGAGGGGAAUGGUGGGCAAUGGGGGCAAGUAUGAUCCAGCCAGACGAAGUGGGAGGAGGAGGCCUUCGGGUUGUGAAGCCGUUUUGUUGGGAAAGAAAAGCAGCAGGUUAAUACCACGCUGUUCUGACGGUAACCAAAGAAUAAGCACCGGCUAACUUCGUG
RNAcentral lists this ribosomal RNA (492 nucleotides) under uncultured bacterium. RNAcentral's name for it is "partial 16S ribosomal RNA". It matches the Rfam family "Bacterial small subunit ribosomal RNA", at positions 29 to 507 of the family's 1533-position model. The record is from RNAcentral.